ACGGCCGCAUUGUGCUGAAUAUACCGGUUCUCGUUAGAUCACCGAAGUCAAGCAUCAUUGGGCGCGGUCAGUACUUGGGUGGGUGACCACCUGGGAACACUGCGUGCCGUU
Molecule: non-coding RNA, 111 nt
Organism: Caerostris darwini
Lineage: Eukaryota; Metazoa; Arthropoda; Arachnida; Araneae; Araneidae
Source: the annotation of a GenBank genome assembly